RNAcentral lists this ribosomal RNA (440 nucleotides) under uncultured bacterium. RNAcentral's name for it is "partial 16S ribosomal RNA". It matches the Rfam family "Bacterial small subunit ribosomal RNA", at positions 338 to 795 of the family's 1533-position model. The record is from RNAcentral.
CCUACGGGUGGCAGCAGUGGGGAAUAUUGCACAAUGGGGGAAACCCUGAUGCAGCAACGCCGCGUGAGUGAAGAAGGUUUUCGGAUUGUAAAGCUCUGUUAGCAGGGAAGAGGAAGGACGGUACCUGCAGAGGAAGCCACGGCUAACUACGUGCCAGCAGCCGCGGUAAUACGGAGGAUGCGAGCGUUAUCCGGAUUUAUUGGGUUUAAAGGGUGCGUAGGCGGAAUGCCAAGUCAGCGGUAAAAUCGCGGGGCUCAACCUCGCUCCGCCGUUGAAACUGGCGUUCUUGAGUGGGCGAGAAGUAUGCGGAAUGCGUGGUGUAGCGGUGAAAUGCAUAGAUAUCACGCAGAACUCCGAUUGCGAAGGCAGCAUACCGGCGCCCAACUGACGCUGAAGCACGAAAGCGUGGGUAUCGAACAGGAUUAGAUAUCCCAGUAGUC